CCUUACCUGGCCUUGACAUACUAAGAACUUUCCAGAGAUGGAUUGGUGCCUUCGGGAACUUAGAUACAGGUGCUGCAUGGCUGUCGUCAGCCCGUGUCGUGAGAUGUUGGGUUAAGUCCGCAACGAGCGCAACCCUUUUCCUUAUUUGCCAGCGGGUAAUGCCGGGAACUUUAAGGAUACUGCCAGUGACAAACUGGAGGAAGGCGGGGACGACGUCAAGUCAUCAUGGCCCUUACGGCCAGGGCUACACACGUGCUACAAUGGUCGGUACAAAGGGUUGCUACCUCGCGAGAGGAUGCUAAUCUCAAAAAGCCGAUCGUAGUCCGGAUCGCAGUCUGCAACUCGACUGCGUGAAGUCGGAAUCGCUAGUAAUCGCGGAUCAGAAUGCCGCGGUGAAUACGUUCCCGGGCCUUGUACACACCGCCCGUCACACCAUGGGAGUUUGUUGCACCAGAAGUAGGUAGUCUAACCGCAAGGAGGACGCUUACCACGGUGUGGCCGAUGACUGGGGUGAAGUCGUAACAAGGUAGGCGUAGAUGA
Molecule: ribosomal RNA, 540 nt
Filed under: uncultured bacterium
Lineage: Bacteria
Description: bacterial SSU rRNA
Rfam family: Bacterial small subunit ribosomal RNA
Source: RNAcentral